UUGAGACCGAUUAGAAUUGAA
This is a non-coding RNA of Caenorhabditis elegans, 21 nucleotides long. The record is from Ensembl. NCBI's taxonomy places the organism in Eukaryota, Metazoa, Nematoda, Chromadorea, Rhabditida, Rhabditidae.